AUCAACUUUCGAUGGUAGGAUAGAGGCCUACCAUGGUGGUAACGGGUAACGGGGUGUUAGGGCACGACACCGGAGAGGGAGCCUGAGAAACGGCUACCACAUCCAAGGAUGGCAGCAGGCGCGCAAAUUACCCAAUCCCGACACGGGGAGGUAGUGACAAUAAAUAACAAUACGGGGUCCUUUCGGGUUUCGUAAUUGGAAUGAGUACAAUUUAAAUCUCUUAACGAGGAACAAUUGGAGGGCAAGUCUGGUGCCAGCAGCCGCGGUAAUUCCAGCUCCAAUAGCGUAUAUUAAAGUUGUUGCAGUUAAAAAGCUCGUAGUUGAAUUUCGGGAUCAGUACGCCGGUCGUGCCUUCGGUAUGCACUGGUGUCACUGGUUUCUCCCUUCUGAAGAACCAUCAUGCCAUUCAGUUGGUGUGGCGGGGAAUCAGGACUGUUACUUUGAAAAAAUUAGAGUGUUUAAAGCAGGCUCGCGCUUGAAUACAUUAGCAUGGAAUAAUGAAAUAGGACGUUUGACCCUAUUUUGUUGGUUUCUAGGAUCGACGUAAUGAUUAAUAGGGAUAGUUGGGGGCAUUAGUAUUCAAUUGUCAGGGGUGAAAUUCUUGGAUUUAUUGAAGACUAACUACUGCGAAAGCAUUUGCCAAGGAUGUUUUCAUUAAUCAAGAACGAAAGUUAGGGGAUCGAAGACGAUCAGAUACCGUCGUAGUCUUAACCAUAAACUAUGCCGACUAGGGAUCGGAUGAUGUUAAUUUUUUAAUGACUCAUUCGGCGCCUUACGGGAAACCAAAGUGUUUGGGUUC
Molecule: ribosomal RNA, 799 nt
Filed under: uncultured Glomus
Lineage: Eukaryota; Fungi; Glomeromycota; Glomeromycetes; Glomerales; Glomeraceae
Description: SSU rRNA
Rfam family: Eukaryotic small subunit ribosomal RNA
Source: RNAcentral